GACGAACGCUGGCGGCGUGCUUAACACAUGCAAGUCGAACGCUGAAGACCUGGAUUUUGUUGAGUUGGGUGAGUGGCUAACGGGUUAGUAACACGUGAGUAACCUUCCCUCUUCUUUUGGAUAACGCCCUGAAAAGGGUUCUAAUACUGUAUAUUCCCUGCUCUUCGCAUGGGGGUUGGUGGUUCGGUUUGUUCUGGUGGGUGAUGGGCUCGCGCCCUAUCGGCUUGUUGGUGGGGUGAUGGCCUACCAAGGCUUUGACGGGUAGCCGGCCUGGAAGGGUGACCGGUGAAAUGGGAACAGAGCCAGGGUCCAGACUACUACGGGAGUGAGCAGUAGGGAAGAUUGGACAAUGGGCGAAAGCAUGAAGAAGGGAUGCGGCAUGAGGGAUGGAGGGUUUAGGGUUGUAAACCUCGGGCGCGAAAGGUCAAGCGGCAACUGUGGGUUGUGGUGAGGGUAGUGGAUAAAGAAGAGCCGGCUAACUACGUG
This 486-nucleotide ribosomal RNA is filed under the name uncultured bacterium. RNAcentral describes it as "partial 16S ribosomal RNA". It matches the Rfam family "Bacterial small subunit ribosomal RNA", at positions 28 to 507 of the family's 1533-position model. The record is from RNAcentral.